RNAcentral lists this long non-coding RNA (207 nucleotides) under Nicotiana benthamiana. RNAcentral describes it as "long non-coding RNA (NBEN_LNC009186)". Lineage: Eukaryota; Viridiplantae; Streptophyta; Magnoliopsida; Solanales; Solanaceae. The record is from RNAcentral.
AUGAUGAUGAAUCAAACAAUCAAGACUGAAUGCCAAGAAGCAUAUUGAUGAAGGGAUUGCAUAGACAAGCCAAGACGAGCUCAAGAGUUCUAGCUUUUUAAGACCCCAGACGUAGGUCGUUAGGUAGAACCAAUGUAAGAGCAACGUUUAAUAUCUCGUCUUUUGGCUCAACAUAGGUCAUCAUAAAUAUGCAUAAAAUAAUUUUAU